CAGUUGUCCAUCAAGUGGAGGCUUUUCUAUUAUUGUUUUUUCUUCACAGUGAGCUAAUAUUGUUGUAAUGAUUUGUGGGUAGAUAUGUGGAAUUCUCAUCAAUACUUUUAGGUUUGGUAUAAUUCUAGGCCUAAACUGGUACUGGAGAAUGUCAAAUGCUAAAUGAUCUCAGUUACUAGUGUUUAAAUGGCUGGAGAAGGCAUUUCAGCCAUUUAUAUUUCAACACUUUCAGCUGUCUGAAGCCGUCAUUAUUAUUACUAUUUUUUGCAACUGUCCAAGUUGACGCAUUUUCUGUUUUAAAAAAAUAGUAAUAAUAAUGACGGCUUCAGA
RNAcentral lists this unclassified non-coding RNA (330 nucleotides) under Hevea brasiliensis (rubber tree). The record is from RNAcentral. Lineage: Eukaryota; Viridiplantae; Streptophyta; Magnoliopsida; Malpighiales; Euphorbiaceae.